Limulus polyphemus (Atlantic horseshoe crab) is the source of this 427-nucleotide long non-coding RNA. RefSeq lists it as uncharacterized. The record is from RefSeq and is a predicted model, not a curated record. Lineage: Eukaryota; Metazoa; Arthropoda; Merostomata; Xiphosura; Limulidae. The transcript is spliced from 3 exons.
GUGUGUUAGGUUAAAUUCGAAACCUUAUUUAUAUAUUUGCGACUGGAGUAAAGUUUUAAGAAGACAUUUAACUAUAUGUUUUAUCUGAAAGAAAAAAAAUUCAACUAUUUUACAAGUGAGAUAAUUAAUAAUCAUUUCAUUCCAAAACAAGUAAGUUAGUGUAAUAUUAUUCUAUGAAGAUCAUUAUUUAAGAACUGUUUUUAGUAUUUGAAUACUAUCAGGUUUUUUUAGGGUAUUACAUGGAGAACGCCCCUACUGGUGGAUAUACGAAACACAAGUUUACAACAAAACUGGCUCCAACACGCCAGCCAUUCAACAAUACUUCAUGACAUGUGAGACAGGUCCAGGCAGUCCAUCAGGUCAUGCUAUGGUUUCUGCAGCGGUAUGGUACAUCCUUAUCACAGCUUUCUUGGAAAAAUCUGCACCU